Molecule: non-coding RNA, 517 nt
Organism: Penaeus vannamei (Pacific white shrimp)
Lineage: Eukaryota; Metazoa; Arthropoda; Malacostraca; Decapoda; Penaeidae
Source: RefSeq, a predicted model, not a curated record
GUCGGAGGGUGAGGGGAGAGGACGUGUGGUCGAGCCGCGCGCUGGGGAAGGUUCUUGUCGUCAUUUCAUUCUAAAAUAACGAACAAGAAAUACCAAACAUCACGAAAAAAGAGACAAAGAAACGAACGAAUGAAGGAGAGAAAGACCAGAAUGAAGGAAAAUGGAUGAAAUGCGAAGAACUGACGAAGAAAUUUAGUAAACGAAAGGAGAGACAAGGAAAAGAAUAAUAAAGGAAUAGAAAGAACAGAAAAUCUAUUAGAAACUCGAAAAGGUUGAUAAACUUCAAAUGCAAAAGAAGGAAAGAAAGAAAAAAGGAAAAAAUAGCCGACAAAACACUGAUUUUCGAAACCAUGUAGAUAAAGAAAACGGGAAACGACAGCGAUGGAAUAACAAAGGGGAGACUUAACCAUUUCUCGGCGAGGACAACACAGCUUCGGUUCUGUCUCAAGAUUUUCCCGCCAAAAUGGACGCAGCGUCGGUUGAUUCAUUCUGGUCAGAGGUACGUCUCGAAUUUCGG